This is a long non-coding RNA of Bombus pascuorum, 2071 nucleotides long. RefSeq lists it as uncharacterized. The transcript has 3 exons. NCBI's taxonomy places the organism in Eukaryota, Metazoa, Arthropoda, Insecta, Hymenoptera, Apidae. The record is from RefSeq and is a predicted model, not a curated record.
UCUAAAGCGUCACGAACUUGAACAAGUUAUCGAGAAUAUCAUCGAAGAAUCAACCGAUUCGAUCGAAAAACAACGAAACUGCCAAGGAGGAAAUACAAGAAAGAGAAAACGAAGGAAGAGAAAAAAUCGGAGGAAAAUCACGAAAGCAACGAGCCAUCCGGCUCGGCGUACUUUCUACGAUCCAAUCCACCAAGUUUCACCUUCCCGCGCCAUUCUGUCUCCGUGUUCCGUAGGACUUUCAUACAAGAAGCCUUAGAACUCUUGGUCAAGCCUGGAAGCAAUAGUCGUUGAUGGUUUCCGUACGUACCGUCGAUGGAAGAGAUACGAAGAGAUCGUAAAAUCGAUAAGUAAGUGUACGAUCGAAAUUGGGAAAUUGGAAUUUCAGGCAGUGUCGUAUCUCACCGUAUCUCUCAUUUUCAGCGAACAGCAUACGAAAUAACCGACGUCCUCCAAAGACAAAUUGGUCAGUUCCACUCUUUGUGAAUUUUUUCAAUUUCGUUAUCGGCGGGAAAUACCGAUACUCAAUCGGAAAGAAAAAAAACAUCCUGACCAUUUAACGCGUGGCUACCGUAUCUCUUACAGCGAGUAUAGACGUACACGAAGGACACGAGAGCGUGAUAUCUCUAGCGUUGGAAGUGGGAGACACGAAACGACGUAGUCAAGGCCGCCGCUUAGCCGUUCCGCUCGGAGCGGUACAUCGAGAGUCGAAAGUGAAACGUCGCCGGUACCGGCGGAAUGACGCACGAUUUUCUCUGUCUUUCUCCCUCCGAUACGAUCGAAAUACACGAACGAACAGUCGUGACUGUCCCGUUUUCGUGAUCGUUUUCGCACACGCCGCUCAGGAUACCGAACGCGUUUAACGCGUGAAAGUUAAGCAGAGAUAAGUAUGCUCGAGGGGUCGAUAAUUGCCGUACAAUUGCAACAGGUAUGCAAGCGGAAAGUAAACGGAAGGGAAGUAACAGGGAGUUGUACCGCGUGGAAACGAGCUUGGAGAGGGAUGACAGUGAAAGAAGAGUGGACUAGGCAUACCUACCGCUAGAAACGGCACAGUAUACAGUCGAGGAUUUAUUGCAUGUGUGGAAUGUGGAACGUCAAAGCCUACGUGCAUCACGGCAGGAACUCAAUCAGUCAACCAUUUCCGGGAUAUCGAUCAAAUACAAGAGGACCAUGAGACGUUUCCGCAACAUUGUACCGAAUACAUGUACAUGCAUCGUUCUUUAUUAUAAAAUAGAAUACCGCAAAUAAAUUACCAUGAGGGAAGACGACCGUCGCAACGAUAUACAAACUCUUCUUACCUUCGAGCAUGCGUCGCGUCGUGAAGUUGCACGGGCAAGGAAACAAUUCAACGUUCAUUAUUCAGCCUUUAAAAGUCUUGCCGGACAGAUAUAUCCCCCUACGAAGUGCAGUCAAAGAGGUUUCAACGAACUAAGUUGUCUCAUGGCGGUCGUACCACGCCAUAAAAACGAAAUUACGGUUUUGUAACGCUACAACGCUACCUGUUAUUUCACAGUUCUCGGUCCUAAAUCAUAAAAUCUACCGCUACACUCUAAGUAACUGUACAGUUUCGGCUACCUUCGUAUACGGUACGAGACACCUGGAAGAAUACACGGUUUAAUAGCCUUGAGUCUCUUAAGGGUCGGAAAACAUUGUUAAAGAGAAUUUGCUUUAUGUCAUCAUAUAUUGUUUUCGGUGUUUCCUUCAUGAAGUCAUAUAUUUAUUUUAUUUCCAUCUUUAUGGAGGCAUAAAAACUUAAGUCUAGGUUCAUCGGUGACCUAUAGCCAGAAAUAAAGUUUUCAUUAGCUUGGUAUAAAUACUCGCUGAUUUACCGCUUGGCAAGGGACACGGAGGAAAGUAACAUUUUCAAGAAUUUGUCACGCUUGCUAUUUGUUUACGACGAAAUAAUCUGAAGUUUCUCUUUAAGAUUCCUAAGCACGUUUCUAAAUAGAUUUAAGAAAUUUAAUCGAAUCAUCGAAAUAUCCAAAGAUAUCUGGCUGGUUAACAUCAGUUCCUAAAAAUUUUUAUUUAAAAAGCGUGUAUUUGAUAGAAACCAAUUUUCACCAAUAACAGCUCC